This 271-nucleotide long non-coding RNA is filed under the name Carica papaya (papaya). RNAcentral's name for it is "long non-coding RNA (CPAP_LNC009011)". The record is from RNAcentral. Lineage: Eukaryota; Viridiplantae; Streptophyta; Magnoliopsida; Brassicales; Caricaceae.
ACGAAGCCUUAUCACUUUUCCAUUAAUUUCAUUUAAAUGUUGAAAUGUUGGAAGAAAAAUGACUUGCAUUCCCUUUUCUCUUCAAUUGCUUCUCAACCUUUAAAGCAAGGUGAAGUAAAUCUUCUAGCUCCAUAUAAGGCUGAAAUUCAACCACAUUAGAAAUCUCCUUAUUCAAACCAUUUAGAAAUCUAGCCAUUAUAGCCUCACUAUCUUCCUCGACAGUUGCUCUAAUCAUGGCCACUUCCAUUUCUUUGUAGUACUCCUCAACACU